This is a transfer RNA of Vitrella brassicaformis, 73 nucleotides long. It matches the Rfam family "tRNA". From Rfam's summary of the family: Transfer RNA (tRNA) molecules are approximately 80 nucleotides in length. Their secondary structure includes four short double-helical elements and three loops (D, anti-codon, and T loops). Further hydrogen bonds mediate the characteristic L-shaped molecular structure. tRNAs have two regions of fundamental functional importance: the anti-codon, which is responsible for specific mRNA codon recognition, and the 3' end, to which the tRNAs corresponding amino acid is attached (by aminoacyl-tRNA synthetases). tRNAs cope with the degeneracy of the genetic code in two manners: having more than one tRNA (with a specific anti-codon) for a particular amino acid; and 'wobble' base-pairing, i.e. permitting non-standard base-pairing at the 3rd anti-codon position. The record is from Rfam. Lineage: Eukaryota; Vitrellaceae.
GGGCAGUUAGCUCAGGUGGUAGAGCACCUGCCUUACAAGCAGGGGGCCACUGGUUCGAAUCCGGUACUGCCCA